GAUCCUGGCUCAGGAUGAACGCUAGCUACAGGCUUAACACAUGCAAGUCGAGGGGCAGCAUGGUCUUAGCUUGCUAAGGCCGAUGGCGACCGGCGCACGGGUGAGUAACACGUAUCCAACCUGCCGUCUACUCUUGGACGGCCUUCUGAAAGGAAGAUUAAUACAAGAUGGCAUCAUGAGUUCACAUGUUCACAUGAUUAAAGGUAUUCCGGUAGACGAUGGGGAUGCGUU
Molecule: ribosomal RNA, 231 nt
Filed under: uncultured bacterium
Lineage: Bacteria
Description: partial 16S ribosomal RNA
Rfam family: Bacterial small subunit ribosomal RNA
Source: RNAcentral